UUUUGUUCUUGGCUUUCUGGCUAAAAUCAAGUGUAGUAUCUGUUCAUCAGUUUAUCAACAUGUAUCUAAACACAUAUACCAUGCUUAUACAUAUAUACAUACAAAUAUAUGUAUGUAUGUGUGUAUACACACACACACACACACACACACACACA
Molecule: small nuclear RNA, 155 nt
Filed under: Naja naja (Indian cobra)
Lineage: Eukaryota; Metazoa; Chordata; Lepidosauria; Squamata; Elapidae
Description: U2 spliceosomal RNA (ENSNNAG00000009115.1)
Rfam family: U2 spliceosomal RNA
About the family: U2 is a small nuclear RNA (snRNA) component of the spliceosome (involved in pre-mRNA splicing).
Source: RNAcentral